Molecule: long non-coding RNA, 369 nt
Filed under: Equus asinus (donkey)
Lineage: Eukaryota; Metazoa; Chordata; Mammalia; Perissodactyla; Equidae
Description: lncRNA (ENSEASG00005032784.1)
Source: RNAcentral
GAGCCAUACAGCUCCAGAUGUGGGUCUGCUUUCUGAAAGACUAUUUUUGUUGUUGUUGUUGUUCACAUACACUUAAGGAGGGGCACAGCCUUCUGAGCCUCUGAGGAGAGUUCUCUGAAGAAUCAAAGGGCACAUAGCCAUUGGCAGCAAAGGUUUUUUGACUGACGGAUCUCUGCUCCUGGACAGACAGAACCAAAAUACACUCUGAACGACAACAGUAAGCACAAUCUCCAUAAAAAACCAAAGGAAGAAAUCUUAAGUCAGCCCCAAACUCCAGCCUCCUUUGUAGCCGGGACAUAGGCAUUUCAAUUGUACCCACACCAGACUGAGUUGGGCGCCAGUGAAGGAAGAAGGAGCCUCUCGUUGAGC